This 450-nucleotide ribosomal RNA is filed under the name uncultured bacterium. RNAcentral describes it as "partial 16S ribosomal RNA". It matches the Rfam family "Bacterial small subunit ribosomal RNA", at positions 354 to 796 of the family's 1533-position model. The record is from RNAcentral.
GUGGGGAAUCUUCCGCAAUGGACGAAAGUCUGACGGAGCAACGCCGCGUGAGUGAUGAAGGUCUUCGGAUUGUAAAGCUCUGUUAAUCGGGACGAAAGAGCCUAGUGUGAAUAAUGCUAGGAAGUGACGGUACCGGAAUAGAAAGCCACGGCUAACUACGUGCCAGCAGCCGCGGUAAUACGUAGGUGGCAAGCGUUGUCCGGAAUUAUUUGGCGUAAAGCGCGCGCAGGCGGAUCUGCCCGUCUGUCUUAAAAGUUCGGGGCUUAACCCCGUUAUGGGAUGGAAACUACAGAUAGAGAGUAUCGGAGAGGAAAGUGGAAUUCCUAGUGUAGCGGUGAAAUGCGUAGAGAUUAGGAAGAACACCAGUGGCGAAGGCGACUUUCUGGACGAAAACUGACGCUGAGGCGCGAAAGCCAGGGGAGCGAACGGGAUUAGAAACCCUUGUAGUCC